Molecule: ribosomal RNA, 198 nt
Filed under: uncultured bacterium
Lineage: Bacteria
Description: partial 16S ribosomal RNA
Rfam family: Bacterial small subunit ribosomal RNA
Source: RNAcentral
ACGCUCGACACCUACGGGAGGUAGCAGUGGGGAAUAUUGCACAAUGGGGGAAACCCUGAUGCAGCGACGCCGCGUGAAGGAAGAGGUAUUUCGGUAUGUAAACUUCUAUCAGCAGGGAAGAAGAUGACGGUACCUGACUAAGAAGCCCCGGCUAACUACGUGCCAGAGCCGCGGUAAUCUGAGCGGGCGUGGCAAGGC